Molecule: ribosomal RNA, 253 nt
Filed under: uncultured bacterium
Lineage: Bacteria
Description: partial 16S ribosomal RNA
Rfam family: Bacterial small subunit ribosomal RNA
Source: RNAcentral
UACGUAGGUGUCAAGCGUUGUCCGGAUUUAUUGGGCGUAAAGCGCCCGCAGGCGGCUUGCCAAGUUCGAUGUGAAAUCUCCCGGCUUAACUGGGAGGGUGCAUCGAAAACUGGCAGGCUUGAGGCAGGGAGAGGGAUGUGGAAUUCCAGGUGUAGUGGUGAAAUGCGUAGAGAUCGGGAGGAACACCGGUGGCGAAGGCGGGUCUCUGGGCAUCUCCUGACGCUGAGGCGCGAAAGCGUGGGGAGCAAACGGG